RNAcentral lists this transfer RNA (87 nucleotides) under Chloroflexota bacterium. Its description in RNAcentral is "Chloroflexi bacterium tRNA-Leu". It matches the Rfam family "tRNA". From Rfam's summary of the family: Transfer RNA (tRNA) molecules are approximately 80 nucleotides in length. Lineage: Bacteria; Bacillati; Chloroflexota. The record is from RNAcentral.
GCCGGAGUGGCGGAAUCGGCAGACGCGACGGUCUCAAACACCGUUGGGGGCAACCUCAUCCGGGUUCAAGUCCCGGCUCCGGCACCA